GCGGGAGUUCCCGAGUGGUCAAAGGGGGCAGACUCAAGAUCUGCUGUGUAGAACUUCGAGGGUUCGAACCCCUCCUCCCGCA
RNAcentral lists this transfer RNA (82 nucleotides) under Candidatus Thorarchaeota archaeon. Its description in RNAcentral is "tRNA-Leu". It matches the Rfam family "tRNA". From Rfam's summary of the family: Transfer RNA (tRNA) molecules are approximately 80 nucleotides in length. Their secondary structure includes four short double-helical elements and three loops (D, anti-codon, and T loops). Further hydrogen bonds mediate the characteristic L-shaped molecular structure. tRNAs have two regions of fundamental functional importance: the anti-codon, which is responsible for specific mRNA codon recognition, and the 3' end, to which the tRNAs corresponding amino acid is attached (by aminoacyl-tRNA synthetases). tRNAs cope with the degeneracy of the genetic code in two manners: having more than one tRNA (with a specific anti-codon) for a particular amino acid; and 'wobble' base-pairing, i.e. permitting non-standard base-pairing at the 3rd anti-codon position. Lineage: Archaea; Promethearchaeati; Candidatus Thorarchaeota. RNAcentral also lists the same sequence under 1 other name. The record is from RNAcentral.